GGGUUUGAUUAUGGCUCAGGAUGAACGCUGGCGGCGUGCUUAACACAUGCAAGUCGAACGAACCUUCGGGUUAGUGGCGGACGGGUGAGUAACGCGUGAGAAUCUGCCCUCAGGAGGGGGAUAACGGUUGGAAACGACCGCUAAUACCCCAUAUGCCGCGAGGUGAAAUGAAUUUCGCCUGAGGAUGAGCUCGCGUCUGAUUAGUUAGUUGGUGGGGUAAAGGCCUACCAAGACAUCGAUCAGUAGCUGGUCUGAGAGGAUGAUCAGCCACACUGGGACUGAGACACGGCCCAGACUCCUACGGGAGGCAGCAGUGGGGAAUUUUCCGCAAUGGGCGAAAGCCUGACGGAGCAACGCCGCGUGAGGGAUGAAGGCCUCUGGGCUGUAAACCUCUUUUAUCAAGGAAGAAGAUCUGACGGUACUUGAUGAAU
This 431-nucleotide ribosomal RNA is filed under the name uncultured bacterium. Its description in RNAcentral is "bacterial SSU rRNA". It matches the Rfam family "Bacterial small subunit ribosomal RNA", at positions 9 to 487 of the family's 1533-position model. The record is from RNAcentral.